CCGGAGGUGGUCAUUUGGUCAACACGGGGGCUUUCAACCCUUUGGUCCAGGGUUCGAACCCUGCUACCGCA
This 71-nucleotide transfer RNA is filed under the name Fasciola hepatica (liver fluke). RNAcentral describes it as "tRNA-Glu". It matches the Rfam family "tRNA". From Rfam's summary of the family: Transfer RNA (tRNA) molecules are approximately 80 nucleotides in length. Their secondary structure includes four short double-helical elements and three loops (D, anti-codon, and T loops). Lineage: Eukaryota; Metazoa; Platyhelminthes; Trematoda; Plagiorchiida; Fasciolidae. The record is from RNAcentral.